Molecule: long non-coding RNA, 169 nt
Organism: Xenia sp. Carnegie-2017
Lineage: Eukaryota; Metazoa; Cnidaria; Anthozoa; Malacalcyonacea; Xeniidae
Exons: 3
Source: RefSeq, a predicted model, not a curated record
AAAGGUUUGUUUGCCCCAAGACGUCGAGGAGGGUAUACGAGUGAUGUUCUGUUGCUUCCCAGAUUAAAAGAGUUUUUACAUGGCUUUCCGUGGGAAAGAAAGCCGUCAGUCGACGAUGCUGUCGAGUACUUACAAAAAACGUACAGAGAUUAUUCAAGGAAAAAGAAAG